Molecule: long non-coding RNA, 908 nt
Organism: Papaver somniferum (opium poppy)
Lineage: Eukaryota; Viridiplantae; Streptophyta; Magnoliopsida; Ranunculales; Papaveraceae
Exons: 2
Source: RefSeq, a predicted model, not a curated record
UUUGGUGACUGAAUUAAAAAAAAAAUACACAAAAUUAGUAAAACAAAACCAAUAAAACAAACAAAUUGAAAAUAUGCACAAACGCACAAUACCAACCAUCAAAUUGCAGUGAUGAAGUCAUGUACUCUGAAAACCUAACCCCAAGGAAGAAAUCAAAACCCUUAGUAGAAAUCGGCAUUGGCAUUCUAAUUAGAAAUCAAAACCCUAAUUAUAAAUCAAAGCCGUAAUUAUAAAUUGAAUCCCUAAGGAAGAAAUCGACAGAAGAUGAGAUAACGGGUAGAAAUCAAAACAUCUUUCCGAAUUUUGGUUGAAGACCUAGAGACAGACAACUCUAGUGAAAAUUCUAAUUCCCCUGUGUAUGUCAAUCAGUAUGAGUCUAAUUUUAAAGGUGAUGAAGAGCAAAAAUCUGAAAGCUUGGUGAUGGUACCGAGAUCUGCGCCAACAAAGAACCAACUAGCACCCGAGCAGGAGAUGGAUUCCAUGGAAGGUGAUGCGGAAAACAGCGCAAACACAAACUAGCGAGGAAGGUGAGGUGUUAGCAGCAGUGGAAGCUUGGAGUUGGGGGGUACAUCUCAAAGCUACAAACAUCCAAAUAGAAACCAGCUGCAACAACCUCUAUAGGAUGAUAAGUGGAGCUCCAAACAACAUUUCUUGGCAAGCUUUCGCGAGAUGGGAUGCUAGUAAACAAACAGUCAUCAAAGCGAAUUUCUUUAUAUGCGAUAAAUCUUUCUUUUAUUAAGUAUUGUAACUAAGAAAGCCAAUCAGACAGCUAUUGAUUUGGGGCAGAUGCCCAAAGCAACAGCAACCUGGGAUAGGUUGCAUUUUAGCGAAUGCAACCAAACCCAAACAAUUUGUAUCUUUCCAUGAUCUAUUUAUUUACUAGAUCUUUAUUACCCAAAAAAAAAAAA